CCGUUUAGCAUCGGCGGCUCGGCGGACGUUCGGGUCCAAACGGCCCGUCCGGCGUUAAAAACCGGACGGCGAGUCGUGCCCGGCUCGUCGGAGUCUGAGCAUACGAGUUGGUACCCGAAAGAUGGUGAACUAUGCCCCGCCAGGGCGAAGUCGGAGGAAACUCCGGUGGAGGCCCGAAGCGGUUCUGACGUGCAAAUCGAUCGUCGGAGCGAGGUAUAGGGGCGAAAGACCAAUCGAACCAUCUAGUAGCUGGUUCCCUCCGAAGUUUCCCUCAGGAUAGCUGGCAUUCGUGAAACUCAGUCUCUCCUCGUAGAGAGAAUGAAUAGAGGCCCUGGGGCCCUAGACGACCUCAACCUAUUAUCAAACUGCUACGAGGUGCGUCGGUGGUUUCGGCUUGCUGACUUGAAGUCGACCACG
Molecule: ribosomal RNA, 417 nt
Filed under: Afrarchaea sp. HMW-2012
Lineage: Eukaryota; Metazoa; Arthropoda; Arachnida; Araneae; Archaeidae
Description: eukaryotic LSU rRNA
Rfam family: Eukaryotic large subunit ribosomal RNA
Source: RNAcentral